AUUGAACGCUGGCGGCAGGCCUAACACAUGCAAGUCGAACGGUAACAGGAAACAGCUUGCUGUUUCGCUGACGAGUGGCGGACGGGUGAGUAAUGUCUGGGAAACUGCCUGAUGGAGGGGGAUAACUACUGGAAACGGUAGCUAAUACCGCAUAACGUCGCAAGACCAAAGAGGGGGACCCUCGGGCCUCUUGCCAUCGGAUGUGCCCAGAUGGGAAUAGCUUGUUGGUGGGGUAACGGCUCACCAAGGCGACGAUCCCUAGCUGGUCUGAGAGGAUGACCAGCCACACUGGAACUGAGACACGGUCCAGACUCCUACGGGAGGCAGCAGUGGGGAAUAUUGCACAAUGGGCGCAAGCCUGAUGCAGCCAUGCCGCGUGUAUGAAGAAGGCCUUCGGGUUGUAAAGUACUUUCAGCGGGGAGGAAGGGAGUAAAGUUAAUACCUUUGCUCAUUGACGUUACCCGCAGAAGAAGCACCGGCUAACUCCGUG
This 490-nucleotide ribosomal RNA is filed under the name uncultured bacterium. RNAcentral's name for it is "partial 16S ribosomal RNA". It matches the Rfam family "Bacterial small subunit ribosomal RNA", at positions 30 to 507 of the family's 1533-position model. The record is from RNAcentral.